Scylla paramamosain (green mud crab) is the source of this 1412-nucleotide long non-coding RNA. RefSeq lists it as uncharacterized. The transcript has 2 exons. Lineage: Eukaryota; Metazoa; Arthropoda; Malacostraca; Decapoda; Portunidae. The record is from RefSeq and is a predicted model, not a curated record.
UUCACUUGUCCUAGAGGAUUUCCCAAAAAAUUAUAUUCAGAUAAUGGUACACAGUGUAUGCAAACAAGGAAUUGAGAGAUAUGGUUACUCGGUGGAAUAAGCAUGAAGUGUUCAAUUUUGGAAAAUUUAAUGGUUUAAUCUGGGUAUUCAAUAGAUCAGCAGAUGCCCCUUGGGAAAAUUCUUGCAGUGAAGCGUUAAUUAGAUUAGUCAAGAGAUCUCUCACUAGAAUCAUAGGUGAAUCAGUCAUAUCCUUUGGAGAACUACAGUCUGUUAUGUAUGAGGUGGCCAAUGUAUUGAAUGAACGGCCUAUCGGGUUCAAACCAGGUGAAGAUUUUGAUGAAGGGACUGUAUUGAGACCUAAUGACUUACUACUGGGUCGAUCUACCAUUGAUGCUCCUUGUGGAUUUUGGAAUGAACGGGGACAAGUAAGUAGAUCAUAUGCAUUUAAGAUUAAGGUCAUUGAUUUAUUUUGGAAAAAUUGGAUGAAGAACUACUUUCCUACUCUAAUUGUACGCCAAAAGUGGCAUGUGAGUGUAAGAAAUGUUCGGAAGGGUGACAUUGUACUUGUUAAUGAUCAUAAUGUAUUAAGAGGAGAAUGGAAGUUAGCGGAAGUUGUAGAAGGUAUACCAGGAAGGGAUGGAAAGAUCAGAGAUGUGUUGUUGAGGUAUAAAAUUAAUGAACCAGGAAAACAGUACAGGGGCCAACAUGACAAGCAAAUGGUAAGAUCAGUACAUAGACUGGUGGUGUUGCUCCCAGUCGAUCAACAAUAGAAGUAUAGAAGCCUUUGAUUUGUGGUGGGGGGAGUGUAAUAUGAUUCUCAUCAUAUUAGAAUUAUAAUGUCAAUGUUGGCACCUUUGAAUGUGGAGCGGGCAGUGUGUGUCGCUGUCAUUGGUUGGAAAGAGGUGUAGACACGGGUUGUAUUCCAGUUACUGUAUAAUUGUUAUUGGCAUAUAUGACAAGAAUUGUAAUUAUUAUUGAGAUACAUAUAUUGUUUUCUUACUUAUUAACAAGUUUGGUAUUGGUUAGUAAUGUGUAUUUGUUUGUCAAGAGGAAGUUUUCUUUUAGGGUCUGUGUAUGUAACACGGAUAUAUAUUAUACCGCACUCAGGGUGUAGGGGGAAGGUAGGCAGAGGUACAGUUGGUGCCUGUCAGGGGUGAGUGGCGGUUGUUUGACUGAGGUGAGUUUUGUGAUAACAUUAUUUCUCUGAUUUGUUUGACUUAUGUUAUGCCGCUGAUUGUGCAUAUUGGUUGGUGUUAUAUUGAAUGCGGUGCUGAUAGGAGGAUUUGAUUAAGUGUAACUUUGCAGCAUAGUUGGGGUAAUGCUGUAAUCAGACAUAUGGUGAAGUCUGCCUUGGCUGAUGAUGGGCGGUCAUUUUGCUGAAUCAAUCAAUAAAUCAAGAUACAGCAAGUCAG